AGGAUGAACGCUGGCGGCGUGCCUAACACAUGCAAGUCGAACGUCCUGUCUCGCAAGAGGCAGGGAGUGGCGGACGGGUGAGUACCACGUGGGUCAUCUACCGUGAGGUGAGGAAUACCGGCGAGAAAUCGCCGACAAGACCGCAUAGCCUCGGUGCAAGCCGAGGAAAGCUCUCUCGAGAGAGGGAGCGCCACACGAGGAGCCUGCGCCCGAUUAGCUAGCUGGUGGAGUAACGGUUCACCAGGGCGACGAUCGGUAGCUGGUCUGAGAGGACGAUCAGCCACACUGGGAUUGAGAACGGCCCAGACUCCUACGGGGGGCAGCAGUGAGGAAUUUUCGUCAAUGGGGGCAACCCUGAACGAGCAACGCCGCGUGCAGGAAGAAGGUUUUCGGAUCGUAAACUGCUUUUCUCGGGGAAGAGAACGGACGGUACCCGAGGAAUCAGCCCGGCUAACUACGCGCCAGCAGCCGCGGU
RNAcentral lists this ribosomal RNA (475 nucleotides) under uncultured bacterium. RNAcentral's name for it is "SSU rRNA". It matches the Rfam family "Bacterial small subunit ribosomal RNA", at positions 26 to 521 of the family's 1533-position model. The record is from RNAcentral.